CAGAACUGGCUCUAACUCCCAAAGAAGUAUCCUUUAAGGACCUAUUUAUAAGGCCCAAUUUUUGCCCGGGCCUAUAGAUUAAAAACAAUAAAUAAACCAAAAAUAAAACCAAAAUAAAAUUUUUCAGUCCAAUCCAUUUACAAAUUACACUUAUGGCCCAACAUGCCCAAUAAACUUAACUACCUAGCCUAUUUACAAGAAAACUAUCACAGCCCAAAAAUUAAAGACACCCAACCCAAAUCAAAACAAGCCCGAUAGGCCCAUCUCCUUAAUAGCUUUUAGAAAACCCUAGGGCAAAGGGCUUCUCGCGCCGCAAGCAUCCACCAGGAGAUUCACGCUCCGGCCUCCCCAACGCACGUGCGCUUCCGUUCCUCUGUCCACGCCCACGAACGGUUUUUCCACGCCAUACACACCUGCAACAGAAAACAACCAAGUAGUAAUUGACAGCAGAUCACAGCGAAUUACAGCAAGGAAUUUGUAUUUUCUUUUAUUUAUUUAUUUUAUUUUUCUUUUUCGGCUAUAAAACUGAAGGAAAAUGAUGUAAAUGGGAUCUUUUUCUUUUCUCCCUCUUUUCACGAAGAAAAUAGCAGAGAAAUACACACGGAUACUAAAAAAUCAAUUUGAAAUUAGUUUUAAGGUGAUUUUAGAUCGUGUUCUUCCUUGAUUUUCGUUUCCAUUUCAUCAUUCUUUAUCUAUUGCAUGAAAAUAAAUCUAUAAGGAGAAAAGGAGACUUAUCUAUUGUUGAAGGAGGCUUCGAAAUCCUUGUUUGCUUCGUCGUAAUCGAAGUCAAGGCGAAGAUUUGAAGCUUGUGAGCAAGGCUCUCGGAUUUGUGGUCGAACGGGACCAGACUUGGCCUUUGCUUGAUGGCCGUCAGCCGAAUAUGGAGGCAAAGCGGCAGUGGAAAGGUGCCUUAGGUUCGGCCGAGUAAAUGGGAAUAGGUCUUUGGUAUUUUUUUAAUUUUAAUUUGCUUUUAAGUGGCUGAAUGUUGGAUUUUAGGUUUUUUAGGCUUGAUUUUGUAUGAAAUUUGAAACGGUGCCGUGUAGGGGGUGAGAUCCACGCGUCAACCCGAUUAGCAGGCCGGAUCUUCACCUUUUCGUUCAAAAUGGGAAAAUUUCACGUUAGAUCCUUCCCCUCUUGCGAGCAUUCAAUUGCGCUUUAGUUAUUCUAUUUUGUUUUUUUAAAAUUUGGCUUUAUAAUUUGCGCGCAUUUUCAUUUUAGUCUGCGAUAUAGCGCAGCGUUUCAGGAUCGAGGCUAUUUUCAGCUUUGGUCCCUGUGAAUUCGCGCGCAUUGCGCAUUAGUCCUCAGUUUAAUUUCAAGAAUUUGUAAAUUAUCCCUUUUAUUUUAAUUUUAUUUCAAAUAAGUUUUUUCAUCUUUUUUUUAUUCAUUUCACAUUCAUUUUUAAU
Molecule: long non-coding RNA, 1403 nt
Filed under: Gossypium barbadense (sea-island cotton)
Lineage: Eukaryota; Viridiplantae; Streptophyta; Magnoliopsida; Malvales; Malvaceae
Description: long non-coding RNA (GBAR_LNC003346)
Source: RNAcentral